CUUGCUGCUAAGGAAUCAGGAGACAGGUCAAAAGAUCAGAUAAUACUAACAAAGUUCAUAUAUAAAUAUUGGAUUAGUUGUAUUAGAGAAUAUUAUUGUACCAAGAAGCUUUCAAGAUUAUGUCGGUGCUGUCUUCUUCUUCUUAUUCUUCUUUUUAAGACCCCCUAAUACAUGGUUGUAUUUGCAUGUUUUCACAUCAUCCAUUACAGGGUUCAAAGCAAGUACAAUGAGAUUUUCAAGACUGGCUUUCUUACUCACUUUGGCUUUCAUUUACUAUUUGAUAUUUGUUGCUCAAGGGAAAGCAGACACCAAUGAAUUGCUGGUGGGCUCUGCAGGGACUUCUGUCAAUGAGGGAAGAGCUGAGUGUAGCAAGGAUGCGGUUGAGUGCAAAGAAGGAAAUGGUGGGUCAGAAGAGAAUGCUUAUGAGAAUGAGGAUUAUAUCUACACCAACUCUCUUCCUUAGAUGAUACACCUCCUUGUAAUGUAAAUUUCUUUUUCCUUGCUCAAGUAAUGUAAAUUUGCAUUCAAUGUACGUAUCAGUUGGUAGCGUGCACUAAAUAAUUUCUCUUUUUGGUAGAGCAAGACGUACUUUUUUUUUAUUGAGCAAUACCGUCAACCAAGUAAG
Quercus lobata is the source of this 625-nucleotide long non-coding RNA. RefSeq lists it as uncharacterized. The transcript has 2 exons. NCBI's taxonomy places the organism in Eukaryota, Viridiplantae, Streptophyta, Magnoliopsida, Fagales, Fagaceae. The record is from RefSeq and is a predicted model, not a curated record.